This 468-nucleotide ribosomal RNA is filed under the name uncultured bacterium. RNAcentral describes it as "partial 16S ribosomal RNA". It matches the Rfam family "Bacterial small subunit ribosomal RNA", at positions 28 to 507 of the family's 1533-position model. The record is from RNAcentral.
GACGAACGCUGGCGGCGUGCUUAACACAUGCAAGUCGAACGGAAAGGCCCUGCUUUUGUGGGGUGCUCGAGUGGCGAACGGGUGAGUAACACGUGAGUAACCUGCCCUUGACUUUGGGAUAACUUCAGGAAACUGGGGCUAAUACCGGAUAGGAGCUCCUGCUGCAUGGUGGGGGUUGGAAAGUUUCGGCGGUUGGGGAUGGACUCGCGGCUUGUCAGCUUGUUGGUGGGGUAGUGGCUUACCAAGGCUUUGACGGGUAGCCGGCCUGAGAGGGUGACCGGCCACAUUGGGACUGAGAUACGGCCCAGACUCCUACGGGAGGUAGCAGUGGGGAAUAUUGCACAAUGGGCGGAAGCCUGAUGCAGCAACGCCGCGUGCGGGAUGACGGCCUUCGGGUUGUAAACCGCUUUCGCCUGUGACGAAGCGUGAGUGACGGUAAUGGGUAAAGAAGCACCGGCUAACUACGUG